CUCAAGCCUGCGAGCCAUCUUUGUUUCUGAAGAAUUAAGAAACUUGUCUAGUGACCUGUUAACCUCUGUUCAGUCUGUCUAAAGUUAACCUCUGCUGCAACCUCCAGGUCCUGCAAGCGGUCUAAUCUGGAAGCCAUCUCCAUUCCUCGAGGAACAUAACCCAUCAGACAAACCAAGCCCAGCAGUUACUCUGCAGUUCCUAUGUGCGCCAGCCUGCCCGCUCUCCGACAAUGCCCACGGACUUUCCGACCUGGACUCCCCAGAGUAAACCUCCCUGGAACAAACCCCCACAUCUAUGACCUCCCAGCCUUCCUCUCUGACCAGCAUCAGUUCCUGUUCCCAGCCCCGAUGGAUGGAGUCAAGUACAGUGUAAGACUUUUUCUUUCCAGGUGGACAACAGCCCUAAACAUUCAGCAACAAUAGAAUCUCUUGAAAGACUUG
Long non-coding RNA from Girardinichthys multiradiatus, 441 nucleotides. RefSeq lists it as uncharacterized. NCBI's taxonomy places the organism in Eukaryota, Metazoa, Chordata, Actinopteri, Cyprinodontiformes, Goodeidae. The record is from RefSeq and is a predicted model, not a curated record. The transcript has 2 exons.